AUGGGCCCUACAUGUGGGGCAGGUACGACAUUGUCUUCCUGCCACCCUCCUUCCCCAUCGUGGCCAUGGAGAACCCCUGCCUCACCUUCAUCAUCUCCUCCAUCCUGGAGAGCGAUGAGUUCCUGGUCAUCGAUGUCAUCCACGAGGUGGCCCACAGCUGGUUCGGCAACGCUGUCACCAAUGCCACGUGGGAAGAGAUGUGGCUGAGCGAGGGCCUGGCCACCUAUGCCCAGCGCCGCAUCACCACCGAGACCUAUGGUGCGGCUGGGGCUGGGGAGGGCAGCCACUGGGGGCCCUGGGCACUGAGCCAGGGGCAGAGAGCCUAGCCUGGCUCCCCUGCCAUGCUGCAGGUACCCACACCUCCUGCUUCCCCCGACUCCCCCCACACCCCCUCACCUCCCCUCUGUCUCUGGACCCCAUCCAGGUGCUGCCUUCACCUGCCUGGAGACUGCCUUCCGCCUGGACGCCCUGCACCGGCAGAUGAAGCUUCUGGGAGAGGACAGCCCGGUCAGCAAACUGCAGGUCAAGCUGGAGCCAGGUACCUGCUCCUCAGGACCCGCUCCCAGAACUGGGGAUGUCACCCCUCAAGGCCUCCUUGCCUGCCCUUCGUGUGUUCUGGCUGUGACUUCUGUGUCCUGCACUGUGCCUGGACCCCUGCCAAGGCCAAGCUGGGAGCCCCUGGCCAGGGCAAGGCCUCCCCAGGCUCCCACAGCCACUGCCGCCUCCCUGGUUCUGAGCACCAGUCACAGUGGUGUGUGAGUCCUCAGUCUUCCCAGAGGCCCUGCCGCUGCACGCCCAGGGCAUCAGUACACAUCUGGACAUGUGAGGGACAGUGGCGCUUGGCCCUUGCUGCUCCUCGGAGCCUGACCACCGCCCCUGCCUGUCCCAUGGGACACUGGUGGUUUCGGACACCAGCCCAGGUGGGUGUUCACCUUGCAGGAGUGAAUCCCAGCCACCUGAUGAACCUGUUCACCUACGAGAAGGGCUACUGCUUCGUGUACUACCUGUCCCAGCUCUGCGGAGACCCACAGCGCUUUGAUGACUUUCUCCGAGUGAGCAGCCCCCUGCCCGGGACAGCCCUGCUGCCAUCUGCCCCCAGCCCCUCCCCAGCUCACAGGGCUGCCUGCUCUUCUGGCAGUUGGGGUGGAAUUGGCAGGGGCCUGUGAGCCUGGCUGGGACCUAGUCUGCCUUUCUUUGUGGGGAGUGCCUGGGUUGCCACCUCCCCUUCUCCCACCCUCUAUUUGGUCCCUUGGCAGGGCCUGUGUGCCAAGUGCUGGCUCCGCAGUGCCCACUAGCUGCCUCUGUGCCCAGCACGUACCUUGGCGCAUGCGCUGCAGUGCCCUGCAGGCCUCUGGUGGGGCUGCCUGUGCCCCGCCCCUCCAGGCCUGCUGAGGCCCCACCUCUGCCACACAGGCCUACGUGGAGAAGUACAAGUUCACCAGCGUGGUGGCCCAGGACCUGCUGGACUCCUUCCUGAGCUUCUUCCCGGAGCUGAAGGAGCAGAGCGUGGACUGCCGGGCAGGUGAGGCUGACCCCCGCCCUGCAGCCAGGGAGCCAUGGGUGUGACGACAGCGGGGCCUCUGCUGCCUGAGGGGCCGCUCCGCCUGGGGGAAAGCCCUGUCAGUUCACUGUCUGUCCCUUCAGCCAACCCUUGCUGGACCAUGUGGGCCCCAGGCCGGUAUGCUAUGAGAACAGGGCUGGGGUCGGGGGCCUGCCUGGGGGCGGUGGCACAAGGCUAAGCAGGCCGAGUCAGGCACUCCCAGGAAGCGGGCCAUGGAAACCAGGCGUGCAAAGGGCCUGGUGCAGGAAGGGCGGGUGACGGGGGUGUCCUGGAGCUGGAGAACAGCAGCCAGCCCUGCUUAUGUGUCACUUGUAAAGGUGUCCCUGAGGGUCUGAGGGCUUGGGGCCCAGGAAGGCACUGCAGGGUUCAGACAUUGAGGGAGAGGCCAGAAUUGCUGGAGGGUGGUGAGGUGCCACUGGGAGGGAUGUGCAUGGUGACACCAAGUUUUGGAAGGUACAGCAAGUGCAUCAAGAGCUUUUUGUGUGUAGGGGAUGGGCACUGCCCCUUAAGAGCAGGAAUAUCAUCUUAAGAGCCUGUUGCCCCCAUCCCGCCCCUGCUGGUUCGUGGUGCAGGUGGCCUCCACCAGCACUGAGGUUGGGUUUAGACUAGUUCGUUGUCCUCCACCCAGGAGAGGCGUGGAGUGGGUGCGAGUCCCUUGGUCACCAACCCAAGUCUCUGCCUCCCUGUACCCCUUCACAGAAGCCCCUUCAGUGGCUUCAAGUGGCAGUGCUGGCUGGAGCUGACCCCGCCUUCCUGAAUGGCCCACGUCCCUGGAAGGCCGCCUGCCUGGGACACACUCAGGGUCUGGGGUCUCCUGGGCAGAUUGCUCAGGCAGCCCCUCCCUAGCCUGGGCAGGGACCCCAGGGUCACUUCUCCCCUCUAGGGCUGGAAUUCGAGCGCUGGCUCAAUGCCACAGGCCCGCCGCUGGCUGAGCCGGACCUGUCUCAGGGAUCCAGCCUGACCCGGCCCGUGGAGGCCCUUUUCCAGCUGUGGACUGCAGAACCUCUGGACCAGGCAGCUGCCUCGGCCAGCGCCAUUGACAUCUCCAAGUGGAGGACCUUCCAGACAGCACUCUUCCUGGACCGGCUCCUGGAUGGGUCCCCACUGCCACAGGAGGUGGUGAUGAGCCUGUCCAAGUGCUACUCCUCCCUGCUGGACUCGAUGAACGCUGAGAUCCGCAUCCGCUGGCUGCAGAUCGUGGUCCGCAACGACUACUAUCCUGACCUCCACAGGGUGCGGCGCUUCCUGGAGAGCCAGAUGUCACGCAUGUACACCAUCCCGCUGUACGAGGACCUCUGCACUGGUGCCCUCAAGUCCUUCGCGCUGGAGGUCUUCUACCAGACGCAGGGCCGGCUGCACCCCAACCUGCGCAGAGCCAUCCAGCAGAUCCUGUCCCAGGGCCUGGGCUCCAGCACAGAGCCCGCCUCAGAGCCCAGCACAGAGCUGGGCAAGGCUGAAGCAGACACAGACUCAGACGCACAGGCCCUGCUGCUUGGGGAUGAGGCCCCCAGCAGUGCCAUCUCUCUCAGGGACGUCAAUGUGUCUGCCUAGCCCUGUUGGCGGGCUGACCCUCGACCUCCCAGACACCACAAUUGUGCCUUCUGUGGGCCAGGCCUGCCAUGACUGCGCCUCGGCUCUGGCCAUGAGCUCUGCCCAGGCCCACGAGCCCCUCCCCUGGGCUCUCCCAGGCAGGGAGAAUGGGGAGAGGGACCUCCUUGUGUCUGGCAGAGACCUGUGGACCUGGCCUCCCCACUCCCAGCUCUCUUGCACUGCAGGCCCUGGGGCCAGCCCGCACACGCCAUGCCUCCUGUCUCAACACUGACAGCUGUGCCUAGUCCCGGACGCCAGCACCUGCCAGGUGCCGCCCCUGGGGCAAGGGCCCCAGCAGCCCUAUGGUGACCGCCACACUGUGCCUUAAUGUCUGCCGGGGGCCCAGGCUGUGCUGUCCCUGCAGCACGCCUCCUUGCAGGGAUCUGAGCCACCCUCCCCGCACAGCCCUGCACCCCGCCCCUGGGGUUGGCAGCCUCAGUUGGCCCCUGGCAGAGGAACAAGGACACAGACAUUCCCUCAGUGUGGGGGCAGGGGACACAGGGAGAGGAUGGUUGUCCCUGGGGAGGGCCCUCUGGCCCCAGGCAACCUUAGCCCCUCAGAACAGGGAGUCCCAGGACCCAGGGAGAGUGUGGGGACAGGACAGCCUGUCUCUUGCAGCUUCCUGGGGCGGGAGGCACAUGGGCAAAGCAAUACCCCAGGGAAAGUGGGAGGUGGUGCUGGUGCUCUCUCUAGGCCCACCAUGCUGGGAGAGGCGGCCGGGGCCUGGGGCCUCCAGCCUGGGACUGCUGUGAUGGGGUAUCACGGUGAUGGUCCCAUUAAACUUCCACUCUGC
RNAcentral lists this small RNA (3944 nucleotides) under Pongo abelii (Sumatran orangutan). RNAcentral's name for it is "retained intron". The record is from RNAcentral. Lineage: Eukaryota; Metazoa; Chordata; Mammalia; Primates; Hominidae.